AUACUGUAUAAUCCCUGCGGGGGAAAGAUUUAUCGCUACUAGAUGAGCCUAUGUCAGAUUAGCUAGUUGGUGGGGUAAUGGCCCACCAAGGCUGUGAUCUGUAGCUGGUCUGAGAGGAUGAUCAGCCACACUGGAACUGAGACACGGUCCAGACUCCUACGGGAGGCAGCAGUGGGGAAUAUUGGACAAUGGGCGCAAGCCUGAUCCAGCUAUGCCGCGUGAGUGAGGAAGGCCUUAGGGUUGUAAAACUCUUUCAGUAGGGAAGAUAAUGACGGUACCUACAGAAGAAGUCCCGGCAAACUCCGUGCCAGCAGCCGCGGUAAUACGGAGGGGGCAAGCGUUGUUCGGAAUUAUUGGGCGUAAAGGGCAUGUAGGCGGUUUGGUAAGUUAAAGGUGAAAUACCAGGGCUUAACCCUGGGGCUGCUUUUAAUACUGCAGGACUAGAGUCCGGAAGAGGAU
Molecule: ribosomal RNA, 459 nt
Filed under: uncultured Anaplasma sp.
Lineage: Bacteria; Pseudomonadati; Pseudomonadota; Alphaproteobacteria; Rickettsiales; Anaplasmataceae
Description: bacterial SSU rRNA
Rfam family: Bacterial small subunit ribosomal RNA
Source: RNAcentral